Molecule: transfer RNA, 71 nt
Filed under: Minisyncoccota bacterium
Lineage: Bacteria; Bacillati; Minisyncoccota
Description: tRNA-Trp
Rfam family: tRNA
About the family: Transfer RNA (tRNA) molecules are approximately 80 nucleotides in length. Their secondary structure includes four short double-helical elements and three loops (D, anti-codon, and T loops).
Source: RNAcentral
GGGCGAUUAGUUUAGUGGCAGAACAGCGGUCUCCAAAACCGCUAGUGUAGGUUCGAUUCCUACAUCGCCCG